This 249-nucleotide ribosomal RNA is filed under the name uncultured bacterium. RNAcentral describes it as "partial 16S ribosomal RNA". It matches the Rfam family "Bacterial small subunit ribosomal RNA", at positions 102 to 342 of the family's 1533-position model. The record is from RNAcentral.
ACGGGUGAGUAACGCGUGAGUAACCUGCCUUUAAGUGUGGGAUAACUAUCCGAAAGGGUAGCUAAUACCACAUAACGCCUUUUAUAACUAAGAUAAAAGGUAAAAGGGGGCCUUUGGCUCUCGCUUAAAGAGGGGCUCGCGUCCUAUCAGGUAGUUGGUGGGGUAAUGGCCUACCAAGCCUAUGACGGGUAGCUGGUCUUAUAGGAUGAUCAGCCACAGUGGGACUGAGACACUGCCCGCACCCCCUAC